CAGCAGCCGCGGUAAUACGGAGGGUGCAAGCGUUAAUCGGAAUUACUGGGCGUAAAGCGCACGCAGGCGGUUUGUUAAGUCAGAUGUGAAAUCCCCGAGCUUAACUUGGGAACUGCAUUUGAAACUGGCAAGCUAGAGUCUUGUAGAGGGGGGUAGAAUUCCAGGUGUAGCGGUGAAAUGCGUAGAGAUCUGGAGGAAUACCGGUGGCGAAGGCGGCCCCCUGGACAAAGACUGACGCUCAGGUGCGAAAGCGUGGGGAGCAAACAGGAUUAGAGACCCGGGUAGUCCCUGUCUCUUAUAA
RNAcentral lists this ribosomal RNA (301 nucleotides) under uncultured bacterium. RNAcentral's name for it is "partial 16S ribosomal RNA". It matches the Rfam family "Bacterial small subunit ribosomal RNA", at positions 509 to 809 of the family's 1533-position model. The record is from RNAcentral.